Molecule: long non-coding RNA, 231 nt
Filed under: Nicotiana benthamiana
Lineage: Eukaryota; Viridiplantae; Streptophyta; Magnoliopsida; Solanales; Solanaceae
Description: long non-coding RNA (NBEN_LNC039021)
Source: RNAcentral
GCACCACUGUACUCCACCUCCACUCAUCCGGCAUCCUUUUAGACUUGAAGAUCACAUUGAACAGCCUAGAGAGCCACUCCCCUCCAGACUUACCCAUGCACUUCCAGAACUCCACUAGGAUCUCGUCAGGCCCGGUCGCUCGACCCCUACUCAUCCUACGCAACGCCUCUAAGACCUCCUCCACCCUAAUGCGCCUGCAGUACCCGAGGUCUCUAUGUUGCUCUGAAUGCC